GGGGUGAUGGCUCAGUGGUAGAGUGCUUGCCUAGCAUGUGUGAGGCAUUGGGUUCAAUUCUCAUCACUGCA
RNAcentral lists this transfer RNA (71 nucleotides) under Marmota monax (woodchuck). It matches the Rfam family "tRNA". From Rfam's summary of the family: Transfer RNA (tRNA) molecules are approximately 80 nucleotides in length. Their secondary structure includes four short double-helical elements and three loops (D, anti-codon, and T loops). Lineage: Eukaryota; Metazoa; Chordata; Mammalia; Rodentia; Sciuridae. The record is from Rfam by way of RNAcentral.